Molecule: RNA transcript, 3045 nt
Organism: Lathyrus oleraceus (garden pea)
Lineage: Eukaryota; Viridiplantae; Streptophyta; Magnoliopsida; Fabales; Fabaceae
Gene name: ATP-dependent helicase rhp16
Exons: 17
Source: RefSeq, a predicted model, not a curated record
CACUCUUAUAAAUACAGAGCCUCUCUUCUCUUCCCGCCGUUUCAUACAGAAGAGUGUGUUUUUUGUGUAGCGAAGCGUGCUUUAUGAUUUUCGAACUAUCGUCGUUUCAUUGAUCUUCAAAAUAAAACGCUUCUUCAAUCGCAAACCCUAAAACACGUUCUCUCUCUCUCUCUCUCUCUCUCUCUCUCUCUCUCUCUCUCUUCUUCACCCGCUUCGUCAAUGGAACUCCGUCCUCGUCGACUCCUUACCGAUGAUGUGGAUUCUGCGGCUGAGAAGGGGAAGCAGCCGAUGGAUGAUUCUGAUGGAAAGUGUGACAGUGACACUGAAAGUGAUCUUGGUUCGUUUUUGAAAUCUGAUUCUGAUUAUGAAGCUGAAGCCGUUGACGAGCACUUAACUUUUGACUUGAAUCAAGUCCCAACUUUAAGCGGAAAUGAUUCUGAUUGUGAUUCUUUAGCUAAAAAGAUAAUGGCACUGUCUCGAAAGAGAGGAAGAGAAUCCCUGAUAAAAAUCGAAGGCCUGAGUGAUUUAGAGAGAGAGCUGGAGCACGGUGAUGAAGCUUCAAUUGAUUCACCUAAGGAGAAAAAGAAGCGAAAAGCAAAUAAAACGAAAAAGGGAGUUCCUAAGCCAGUGUUGUUAUGGCAUGCUUGGAGAGAUGAGCAUGAAAGAUGGAUUGAUCAGAAUUUGUUGGAAGAUGUUAACUUAGAUCAAAGUGAAGUGAUGAAUGAGACUGCCGAGGCAUCGUCAGAUCUGAUUGUUCCUUUGCUGAGGUACCAAAGGGAAUGGUUAGCAUGGGCUUUGGAGCAAGAAAAUUCUGUAAGUAGAGGAGGAAUCCUCGCCGAUGAAAUGGGUAUGGGGAAAACUAUUCAAGCAAUUGCCCUUGUUCUUGCUAAACGUGAAUUUCAACAAAUGAGUCGCGAACCAGAUGAACACCCACAUUCACCCGGGUCAUCUAAAGUCCUUCCUGCGAUCAAAGGAACCCUUGUCAUCUGUCCUGUGGUUGCUGUUACUCAGUGGGUUAGUGAGAUUGAUCGAUUUACUUUGAGAGGAAGCACCAAGGUUCUGGUUUAUCAUGGGGCAAAGAGAGGGAAGAGUGCUGAACAGUUCUCAGAGUAUGAUUUUGUAAUAACAACAUAUUCUAUUGUUGAAUCGGAGUACAGAAGGUAUGUGAUGCCUCCUAAGGAGAAAUGCCUAUAUUGUGGAAGAUUAUUUUACGAGAGUAAAUUAAUUAUUCACCAGAAGUACCACUGUGGGCCUGGCGCUAUUAAAACUGAAAAACAAUCAAAGCAGACAAAGAAAAAGAAAAGUGGUCAGAGUUCAAAGUGGGAUGGAGGGUUGAAGCAGGGCUCUAUCAAGAAGAAGAAGAAUGAAAUAUCCUCAAGAAUAGAAGACAAUGAGAAGUCUUGGCUCCAUGCUGUUAAGUGGCAGAGGAUCAUAUUGGAUGAGGCCCACUAUAUAAAAUCUAGGCAUUCUAACACUGCAAAAGCAGUUCUUGCUUUAGAGUCUUUCUACAAAUGGGCAUUAAGUGGCACACCCCUUCAGAACCGUGUUGGAGAGCUAUAUUCUUUGGUACGAUUUCUGCAGAUAGUUCCUUAUUCCUAUAACCUAUGCAAGGACUGUGAUUGCAGGAUGCUUAAUCAUAGCUCCUCUAGACAAUGUUCAAAUUGCCCCCACAGUUCUGUUAGGCAUUUUUGUUGGUGGAACAAAAAUAUUGCCACACCAAUUCAAUCAUAUGGAUAUGGUGAUGGGGGGAAAAGAGCUAUGAUAUUGCUCAAAAACAAAAUUUUAAAGAGCAUAGUGUUAAGGCGAACUAAAGUUGGCAGGGCUGCUGAUCUGGCACUUCCUCCUAGGAUCGUAUCAUUGAGGAGGGAUAGCCUAGAUACAAAAGAACAAGAUUAUUAUGAAUCACUAUACAGUGAAAGUCAAGCACAGUUUAAUACGUACGUACAAGAAAAUACUCUGACGAAUAAUUAUGCUCAUAUUUUUGACCUCCUCACUCGACUACGUCAGGCUGUGGAUCAUCCUUAUCUUGUGGUGUAUUCUCCAACUGCAGCAGCACUAAAAGGAGGGAACUUGGUUAGUAAUGGUAAUGUUGAAGUAGAAUGUGGCCUUUGUCAUGAUGCAGUUGAAGAUCCUGUGGUUACCUCUUGUGAGCAUACCUUUUGCAAGGGAUGCUUGAUAGAUUUCUCUGCUUCCUUAGGUCAAGUAUCAUGCCCCUCAUGCUCUAAGUUACUCACUGUUGAUUUGACUUCCAACAAGGAUACUGUGGUUCAUAGAACAACAAUUAAGGGGUUCAGACCUUCAAGCAUUUUAAACAGAAUCCAGAUUGAGAAUUUUCAGACAAGUACUAAAAUAGAGGCAUUGAGAGAAGAAAUUAGAUCUAUGGUUGAAAUGGAUGGUUCUGCAAAAGCUAUUGUUUUUAGCCAAUUCACAUCAUUCUUGGAUCUCAUAAACUACUCCUUGCAAAAGUCAGGUGUAUCUUGCGUUCAACUGGUUGGAAGUAUGACAUUGGCUGCUCGGGAUGUUGCCAUUAAAAAAUUUACCGAAGACCCAGACUGUAGAAUUUUCCUAAUGAGCUUGAAAGCUGGAGGCGUUGCUCUGAAUUUGACCGCAGCAUCUCAUGUUUUCCUCAUGGAUCCUUGGUGGAACCCUGCAGUUGAGCGUCAGGCUCAAGACAGAAUUCACCGUAUAGGGCAAUACAAACCAAUCAGAAUUGUGAGAUUUGUCAUUGAAAACACAAUCGAGGAGAGGAUCUUGAAACUUCAAGAGAAGAAGGAAUUAGUAUUUGAAGGGACUGUAGGUGGUUCUACAGAGGCUCUAGGGAAGUUAACGGUGGCCGACUUGAGAUUUCUCUUUGUUACCUAGGCUGGCUAUCUUGACAGGAAAAUUUGUUGAUACUUCCUAUAGAAUACAUCUUUUGGGAAAUAUUUUUUGAUGAUAUACAUCAUGUAACUUGCAUGAAGCUUAACAGAAUGUAUGAGUCUGUUAAUAGGAGACUCAUUUUAAAAUGCAAUUUUUGUGUUAUAAAUAGAUGUGUUGUGUGAGUAA